This 20-nucleotide non-coding RNA is filed under the name Arabidopsis thaliana (thale cress). Lineage: Eukaryota; Viridiplantae; Streptophyta; Magnoliopsida; Brassicales; Brassicaceae. The record is from RNAcentral.
CAUGAUUGGUUGGACUGUAA